Molecule: ribosomal RNA, 468 nt
Filed under: uncultured bacterium
Lineage: Bacteria
Description: partial 16S ribosomal RNA
Rfam family: Bacterial small subunit ribosomal RNA
Source: RNAcentral
GACGAACGCUGGCGGCGUGCUUAACACAUGCAAGUCGAACGGAAAGGCCCUGCUUUUGUGGGGUGCUCGAGUGGCGAACGGGUGAGUAACACGUGAGUAACCUGCCCUUGACUUUGGGAUAACUUCAGGAAACUGGGGCUAAUACCGGAUAGGAGCUCCUGCUGCAUGGUGGGGGUUGGAAAGUUUCGGCGGUUGGGGAUGGACUCGCGGCUUAUCAGCUUGUUGGUGGGGUAGUGGCUUACCAAGGCUUUGACGGGUAGCCGGCCUGAGAGGGUGACCGGCCACAAUGGGACUGAGAUACGGCCCAGAAUCCUACGGGAGGCAGCAGUGGGGAAUAUUGCAAAAUGGGCGGAAGCCUGAUGCAGCAACGCCGCGUGCGGGAUGACGGCCUUCGGGUUGUAAACCGCUUUCGGCUGUGACGAAGCGUGAGUGACGGUAAUGGGUAAAGAAGCACCGGCUAACUACGUG